GAGAGUUGAUCAUGGCUCAGGAUGAACGCUAGCGACAGGCUUAACACAUGCAAGUCGAGGGGCAGCACGGGAGUAGCAAUACAACUGGUGGCGACCGGCGCACGGGUGAGUAACGCGUAUGCAACCUACCUAUCGAGAGGGGAAUAACCCGGCGAAAGUCGGACUAAUACCGCAUAAAACAGGGGCACCGCAUGGUGAUAUUUGUUAAAGAGAUUCGCUGAUAGAUGGGCAUGCGUUCCAUUAGGUAGUUGGUGAGGUAACGGCUCACCAAGCCGACGAUGGAUAGGGGAACUGAGAGGUUGGUCCCCCACACUGGUACUGAGACACGGACCAGACUCCUACGGGAGGCAGCAGUGAGGAAUAUUGGUCAAUGGGCGGGAGCCUGAACCAGCCAAGUCGCGUGAAGGAAGAAGGAUCUAUGGUUCGUAAACUUCUUUUGCAGGGGAAUAAAGUGCAGGACGUGUCCUGUUUUGUAUGUACCCUGAGAAUAAGGAUCGGCUAACUCCGUGCCAGCCGCCGC
This 520-nucleotide ribosomal RNA is filed under the name uncultured bacterium. RNAcentral's name for it is "bacterial SSU rRNA". It matches the Rfam family "Bacterial small subunit ribosomal RNA", at positions 7 to 518 of the family's 1533-position model. The record is from RNAcentral.